Molecule: ribosomal RNA, 492 nt
Filed under: uncultured bacterium
Lineage: Bacteria
Description: partial 16S ribosomal RNA
Rfam family: Bacterial small subunit ribosomal RNA
Source: RNAcentral
AGUGGACGCUGGCGGUAGGCCUAACACAUGCAAGUCGAACGGCAGCACAGUAAGAGCUUGCUCUUACGGGUGGCGAGUGGCGGACGGGUGAGGAAUACAUCGGAAUCUACUUUUUCGUGGGGGAUAACGUAGGGAAACUUACGCUAAUACCGCAUACGACCUACGGGUGAAAGCAGGGGAUCUUCGGACCUUGCGCGAUUGAAUGAGCCGAUGUCGGAUUAGCUAGUUGGCGGGGUAAAGGCCCACCAAGGCGACGAUCCGUAGCUGGUCUGAGAGGAUGAUCAGCCACACUGGAACUGAGACACGGUCCAGACUCCUACGGGAGGCAGCAGUGGGGAAUAUUGGACAAUGGGCGCAAGCCUGAUCCAGCCAUACCGCGUGGGUGAAGAAGGCCUUCGGGUUGUAAAGCCCUUUUGUUGGGAAAGAAAAGCAGCAGGUUAAUACCCCGCUGUUCCGACGGUACCCAAAGAAUAAGCACCGGCUAACUUCGUG